This is a long non-coding RNA of Carassius auratus (goldfish), 3473 nucleotides long. The record is from Ensembl. Lineage: Eukaryota; Metazoa; Chordata; Actinopteri; Cypriniformes; Cyprinidae.
GAACUCUUUCACUGAUGAUUCAUAAUGAGCUUUAUUAUAGAUCCGUCACCGUAGAUUUGCAGUAAUCACCGUUACAUGCCAUAAUACAUCACGAAAUCACCAUAAGAGCUUUACAUGAAAACAAACAAAACAUAAUAUAAAUAAACCAUGAAACAAACAUACAUCAAAUCACAUACAAACUAAUACCCAUUAUUACAUUACAUAAAACAAGAAAUCCAAAACAAUACAGAUAAGUCAAUUUUACCUUAUUCUCCACUUAAACCAGGAGCUAAAUCCUUGAAGUUCUCUUUAACCGUAUGCCUUUAGAUGAAUCAAACAUGUGCGCCGUAGCUGCGCUCCUUACUACAAUGCUACUACACCUGCGCCCCACCCCUCGUUCCCACGCCUCUCGGCCCCGCCCCACUCGCCACAGAACUCCAGGAGGUGUUCUUAGAGGGGGGGGGGGGGUACUGUCACGGUAAACCGUGAUCUCUGGGUUUUGCACUUUGUGGUGAAGUCUGUGUGUUUCGCGUCUACACUGAUUAGUUUGCGGGCGUCUCUGUUAAUUGUCAUCAGCAGCAGCUGUCACUCAUUACUCUCUCCCUAUAUAUUGGCUUGUCUCACGUCUUGUGUUUGUGAGAACGUUGUUUCAUGUCUGGUAAAUGUUCUAUGCUUCUGUAUUGUUCUGCGUUGGAUGUCUGUGUCUUCCCCAGGAACUUCAUCCACUCUUCGCACCUCCACAAGCAUCACCACUUACCUUCGCCUCGAUUCCCCGGAGUUCCUGUGCCAUCCUCUCCUACUGCCAACUCACCAUCACCAUCCGGAUUACUCACCAUCUCCCCACCAUCUUGCUCCUCCUUCACCCAGUCGUCACAGAACGUUCUCACCUCAAAAUGGAAGCAGCGAGCACCACCUCUUUAACUGACUUUAUUCACCACCGCAUCAACAGCAUGGAUCAGCAGCAGGAGAGCAUCUCUAACACCGGAAGCGCUAUCCAAGCGCUGGUUGCACAAGUGUCUGAGCUCACCCAGCAGAUCCAUCAGCUCACCUCUCCCACUGCGCCCAUCGCACCGCCUGCGCCGCCCGUCCCCCGGGAGAACCCCCAGGAUCACUUCCGGCCAGAGCCGCAACUUCCGGCGCCAGAAAACUACUCCAGUGAGCCAGCUUUCUGCAGAACUUUCCUAAAUAAGUGUCCCAUGCACUUUGCCUUACAGCCCCGCACCCUCGCCACCAAGGAAUCAAAGGUGGCGUUCACGCUAACUCUACUGUCCGGCAAGGCCGCCAACAUCCGUAUUGCGCCUUGUUCCACACCCUGUCGCUCAGCUGCUCACCAGUUACAUCAAGGGACCUCCUCGGUCACGGAUUACUCCAUUUAGUUCAGUUUAAACAUGAGGCUAAUAUCGGGUGGGAUCUCCGCUGGGAAGUCCUCAACAACAUCAUUGACUCUCCUUCCGGUGAAACUGCGGUGGGAGAAUCACACACACGACUUUCAAGCCCUUUUGGACUCCGGAGCCGAAGGUAAUUUCAUCAACUCACUCCUUGCACGUCACCUGAACAUUCCUGUCUUGCCUGUGUCUCUUCCCAUCCAUGUCACCGCACUCAACGGCCAGGAACUGCCUCACGUCACCCACUACACUGAACCCAUCACUCUGCUCACUUCAGGCAAUCAUUGUGAAACCAUAUCCUUUUUCCUCAUGGACUCCCCCGUAGUUCCUAUUGUCUUAGGUCACCCCUGGUUAAUGAAACAUAAUCCACGAGUGGAUUGGGGUCCAACACAAUCACAUUGUGGAGUGAAAGUUGUCAUGAGUCUUGUCUGGUUUCUGCUUGUAUUGUUGUCCCUGUCUCUGUCUUUCAGAAGGAGAACAUGGUAUUAUCAAAUGUGCUCGCAGAGUAUGUAGACCUGAAGGAGGUGUUCAGUAAGUCCCGUGCUGCUUCUCUUCCUCCACAUCGUCCCUACGACUGUGCCAUAGAUUUAGUGCCAGGUAAGUCUCCGCCUAAAGCCAAAUUAUACUCUCUUUCUAUUCCAGAGAGGGAGGCCAUAGAGAAAUACAUUUCUGAUUCCUUAGCAUCUGGGUUCAUCCGCCCUUCCUCUUUUCCAGCGAGGCGGGAUUCUUUUUUGUGGGUAAGAAGAAUGGUUCUCUGCGACCUUGUAUUGAUUACCGAGAGCUGAACAACAGUACGAUAAAAAACACUUAUCCAUUACCACUCAUGUCUUCAGCUUUUGAGAGGUUACAGGGAGCAUCCUUAUUCACAAAAUUGGAUUUACCUAACGUUUAUUAUUUGGCCCGCAUCAGGAAGGGGGAUGAAUGGAAAACCUCCUUAACUACCCCUAGAGGGCACUUUGAAUACUUGGUGAUGCCGUUCGGGCUCUCCAACUCGCCAGGAGUUUUCCAAGCACUCUUUUAUGACGUGUUGAGAGAUAUGGUAGAUCAGUUUAUAUAUGUUUACCUGGAUGACAUACAGAUUUUUUCUUAAUCUCCCCAGGAACACAUUCAACACGUCAGACGAGUGUUCCAUAGGUUACUUGAGAAUGGUCUUUUUGUCAAGGUGGAGAAAUGCGUAUUCCAUUCACAGUCUGUUCCCUUCCUAGGAUAUGUUGUCUCAUCCGAGAGAAUAUGUAUGGACCCUGACAAAGUUAAGGCUGUGAUAGAUUGGCCAUCUCCAGAUUCCCGUAAGGCCCUACAGCAGUUUAUGGGGUUCGCCAAUUUCUUUCGGCAUUUUAUUCGCAAUUUCAGCCAACUAGCCUCACCACUGACAGCCUUGACCUCUCCCAGUACUCCGUUCAGGUGGUCAGACGCAGCAGAGACUGCGUUCAACUAAAAAAGCCACUUCUUUUCGGCUCCCAUCCUUGUGUCCCCUGACCCCACACGUCAGUUCGUGGUGGAGGUCGACACAUCAGAGGUGGGGGUAGGAGCAGUGUUGUCCCAACGUGCUGUCUCGGAUGAUAAGGUACAUCCUUGCGCAUUUUUUUCCCAUCGAUUAUCUCCUGCUGAACGCAAUUAUGACAUUGGUAAUAGAGAGUUGUUGGCCGUCAAAUUAACUUUAGAGGAGUGGCAUCACUGGCUGGAAGGCUCAGGGGUACCUUUCAUUGUUUGGACAGAUCAUAAGAAUUUAGAAUACAUUAGAACUGCCAAAAGAAUCAAUUCCAGGCAGGCCCGGUGGGCACUUUUUUUCAGUCGCUUUGAUUGUACUUUAUCGUACCGCCUGGGUUCCAAAAAUUUCAAAAACCGAUUAAUUAUCACGUCUUUUUGAUCCCUCCGCCCACCCGGUGACUCCCGAGUGUAUUUUACCUGAGAAAGUAGUGGUCUCAGCACUCGUAUGAGAGGUCGAGUCGAACGUCAAGACGUCCUUAGAAGGGGUAACGCCUCCGCCCGGUUGUCCACCGAACCGUUUAUUUGUGCCGGAGGAGUUAAGGUCCAAAGUCAUUCAGUGGGGUCACUGCUCUAAUGUUGCUUGUCAUCCAGGGAUAAGUCGAACUAAUGGGUUAGUUAAAC